Panicum virgatum (switchgrass) is the source of this 1615-nucleotide long non-coding RNA. RefSeq lists it as uncharacterized. The transcript is spliced from 2 exons. The record is from RefSeq and is a predicted model, not a curated record. NCBI's taxonomy places the organism in Eukaryota, Viridiplantae, Streptophyta, Magnoliopsida, Poales, Poaceae.
GCGCCGCCACCUCCUGAUUCCAUUGCUGCCCCCAUCUAUUCCGCCUUGCCGUUGCCUCUCCUAGCCCUAGUGCCGUCGCCCUUGUUUCUCCCUUUGGUGCUGGUGCGAGUAAUCUUGUCAGGCUGUCUUCCGGUGGCUCCUGACUCCAUCAUCCCCAGUGCACCUCGCAAGUGUUGCUUGAACCAGGGAAUCUACGGGACAGAGGAGAAAGGACAAGCAGAGAGGAAGGGGAGUCUGAAUAUUUUUUCAAGCUCGUCAAGUUCUCUUCAAAUCUGAGUUCUUCCCUACAAGGUUAGCCUUCAAUUAGUCACUCGAUGCCUCUAGCAAGGACUGAAUGGAUAUAAUUAGCCAAAGAUUUUGCUUCGUACCGAUCGAUUUCUGUUGCAGGGGCUUUUAAGUUUAAAACUGGUAUUAAGGCGUCCAAAAUUUCAACAUCUCAACAAUACAAAAGUUGUAGGUUUCGUCGAUAUCUUUCCAAUGGCGCUGGUUUCAUUCAAUUCCGAUUAGCGGUUUAUGAGAUAUCAUCGAAACUGUGUCGCUGUUCCCUUUAGAAAAGUUGUGCGCAGAAACUGUUUAUCUAUUUUCGACUUAUUCAGAAGCUGAAUUUCCCCUGCGCCCUGUAACAAAAGUUGUAGAAAAUUUUCUGUAGAUGUUCAAGAUGUAUUUAUUGACUGCAUUUGGUUAAGUGAAUCAAAAGUUAUGGGCCAAACAGCGAGUAACUCAGAGAAUUAGUUGAAUUUUCAGAACUUGUGAGAGUUAAGGUUUUAGGCUUUUAGCUCCGGAUUUCUUCCGGUAUAUAGGCUUUUGGUCGAUAUGAACUGGUUCGUGAGAGUGGUUUAUUCCACAGGUUCGAUAAACUAUAGCAGCGAGGGCGUGGCGCCGGGUUCUCAACAAGGUUAAGGCAAGUGCACGACCAACUUGUUUGUUGGCAAGUUGCUUGCAAUUUCUUUUCUUAUGUUAUCCGAUUGCUUUAUCAAGUGUUUAUGAUAUCCAAAAUCAUGAUCUGUUCAUGUUUUCUGAUCCAUGAUUCCAGUUUCAAGAUAUUCUUUUAAAUUCCAUUCAUGUUCCGGUGUAUUCGGAUGUGCAAUUUGGUUCUUUUAUUCAUGUUCCUGUGAGUAAGUGCUGGACCCACUUGCUCGGCUUUACCGGUAAAUGCUAAGGAUGUUUCAAGUUGGGUCCGUUUCAGACGGAAACUACUAUUUCAUUGGUGUUCAUUCACUCAUGUUUCAUGGAUCGUUGUUGCUAUGUUAUUUCCAGUUCUAGUUGUGCUUGUUGAGUAUUCUUACUCACCCUUGUGUUUAAUUGGUUUUUAGGUACCAAAUGAUUGCGGCAUGCAUGGGAAGUGGGAGUAGCACUUUCUGCAAGAGAUUACACACACUUUUUUACAUUUUUAGUUGAUAUUGUCGAUUCCUAGAGUAUAAAUGGUUAAACUUGGCUGCCUUAUUCUUUCUAUGGUUGAGACGAACUUAGUUGGUCGGGUCAACUUAUUUCUUUUGGUGUUGGAUUGGGAUGUGAUGUUUAUUCAUCAUUCAUAUGCUAUUUCGAUAAUUCUUCAUAUAAACUGCUUAUCCAGUAUGACCUAUUUAUAGGGAGACUCUGUCGAAUUUCUGUUGAA